AAGAUCUCAUGUAUCAAAACAAAUCCUCAAAAAUUCUCUCUCUCUUCCUCACCCAUCACUCACGCCUAACUCUCUCUCCCUCAUCUCUCACUUUCCACCAUUGUCAACCAUUGUAGAGACCUCCGAAGCUUCACAAAAUCAUACCAAACACAUCAAUCCACUCCAAAAUCUUACCUAAACACCUUCAAUCUCAUUGGAUUCAAGAAGAUCAUUGAAGUUUGAUUUCAAAGCUAGAGAGAGAAAAUUUGAUUUUGGGUGUAAGUUUGGACACGAGCAGAGCUAGGAAGUAAGUAACUCCGCUUUGACGGGAGAUUUUGAGUAAAGUCUUCAGGAAAUCCAAUUGGGAUCAUAUGCUAGACAAAGGUCGCUAGCUAGGGUUAACGUGUACACUCAUGGAGACCGCGAGUCGCUUGUGACCGGUCUUGGCGUCCGUGGUAAGGAGGCCUCCUUCCUGGCACGUGACAGAAAGGAACAGAUAUGGAUCAUAUGAAGGAAAAUGGGUCGGCCGGCCAAUCUUAUGAAAAUGAAAUAAAUAUUUUAGUUGAGCAGCUGAUGGAAUGGAAUGAUGUUGAGCGGGCGUUCCUUUGAUCAUUUCAAGAAAUGUAACCUUGAGUAUACAUCUUCAUAUGUAUAUCUCACACGUUUUCCGCUGCAAAACACUUUGAUUAGGAUAACUCUAUGUUAGGAAAUUGUGACACGUGUUUGGGUAACCCACCUUAAUCAGUUCUACUUUAUGUGUAUGUUUUAUAAAUAUCCAAAUGAUCAUAUAUGAUCCUAGCAUUUUAUCUAUAAGUGACACUUCCAUAUACUUUAAUGUUAAGUAAU
This is a long non-coding RNA of Salvia miltiorrhiza (redroot sage), 825 nucleotides long. RefSeq lists it as uncharacterized. Lineage: Eukaryota; Viridiplantae; Streptophyta; Magnoliopsida; Lamiales; Lamiaceae. The transcript has 4 exons. The record is from RefSeq and is a predicted model, not a curated record.